AUGGGGCUUGGAGAUCCUGAAAGGGAAAAAUCUCAUCUGGGAACCCCGGGGAAGGGGAAGGGGAAGGGAAGCCCCCACUCACUCAGGUAUGGUCUUGGAGGACAUCUCCCUCUUGUAGGCCAGCUGGUACUUGAGGCUUUCCACCUCUUUUUUCCAUUGUGGGAGAUCCCACUCGUCCAUCGCGCUCUCCGAGGGCUCCGUUGGGCUGGGAAUGGGGAUUUUGGUGCCUUGUCCUGCCCUGAUCCCUCAAUUUCCCCCCAGAGGCCCCCUCAGGAUGGGGACAGCACGUCCCAGGCUCCCGGGGAGGUUUCCAAGCCCAGAGCGGAGCAGCCAAGGGCUCCAGGAGCUUUUGGAAUGUUUUGGUUGAGGCAAAGCGCCCCUCUCAUGCAAAACUCAGGGACUGAGGCAGAUUUGACUGAAAUUUGGGUGGGGAGCAGCAAAGAGCAGCCAGAGGCUCUUUGGGAAGGGGGUUUUGUCCUUUUCCUGCCUGGCCACGGCUCCGAAGGGAGCGGGAGGGAUUUGGGGUUGCCUAAAGAGCGCUGGAAAUGGCUCGGGGUUGGGGGGAGGCCAGCAGAGAUGUGGGGAGCAAAGCAAACCCCUCUGUACCCCCCACCCCACCGACCCCAGCAGGAACCCUGCGGGAGCACGGGCGCGAUGGGGAAACUGAGGCAGGGAGCUGAGGGGGCUCAAGCAGUGCCCACAGCGGAGCGGCCCCCGUGCCACCCAAACCUGCUGAUGUCCCCUGCCCCACGCCAGGGCUCCCGGAGAAAGGGCAGGAAGGUGAAAUCCUCCCCCGGGCACGGCUCCGUGCCAGCCCCGGCAUCCCCCGGAACUCCAGCCGGGAGCGGGAUCAGCCCCUUCCCCGCUCCCGCCGCAUUCCCGGCGCGUCCCGCUCCCACCUGGCUUGGGAAUGCCGGCAGCAGAGAAAUGGGGCCGCGACUGCAGCCUUGUGCUCCUCCCGCGAGCGCUUCCCUGGCUCCCGGAGAUCCCAAACGCUCGGGAUAA
RNAcentral lists this long non-coding RNA (1005 nucleotides) under Cyanistes caeruleus (blue tit). Its description in RNAcentral is "lncRNA (ENSCCEG00000023118.1)". Lineage: Eukaryota; Metazoa; Chordata; Aves; Passeriformes; Paridae. The record is from RNAcentral.